RNAcentral lists this unclassified non-coding RNA (261 nucleotides) under Burkholderia gladioli. RNAcentral's name for it is "partial 16S-23S ribosomal RNA intergenic spacer". The stretch from base 147 to 219 matches the Rfam family "tRNA". The record is from RNAcentral. Lineage: Bacteria; Pseudomonadati; Pseudomonadota; Betaproteobacteria; Burkholderiales; Burkholderiaceae.
ACGUAGCUUAUGGCUGUAAUCAAGACAGACUCAGGGGUCUGUAGCUCAGUCGGUUAGAGCACGUCUUGAUAAGGCGGGGGUCGUUGGUUCGAAUCCAACCAGACCCACCAAUUGUCUGGCGGUAGAAACCUGAGACGUCUCUGUAUGGGGGCAUAGCUCAGCUGGGAGAGCACCUGCUUUGCAAGCAGGGGGUCGUCGGUUCGAUCCCGUCUGCCUCCACCAAUCUUCAAUGACAAACGUUCGGGUCAGUUGACUCNNUCU